GGGGAUUGAAAUUAUGAUUUCCAAGAGCCUCUGGCUAUGCUGCUGAUUCUCCUGUGGUUUCUCUGAGAACAGACAUUCCUGGCAUGAACAAACCUGGAUUCUGGUCUUGCGGCUUCUGAUUGGCAUCCUCUGCCUAUAUAAUGUCAGGAUGUGGAAUCCUAGAGUCGGAGUCUUAUCUUCCUCUGGAUUCUGAAGCUUUCCUCUGUGCUGCCUGCUCAACAACUGACCAUCAUGAAGUUUUUGGUGUUCCUGGCACUGGUGGCAGUUUCCACCUUCCUGGUUUCUGGCCAGGAUACAGGAACAAUUCCUGCUAGUUCUUCUCCGGCCACAGAGUCCACUACGGCUGCGACAUCCACUGCUGCUCCCACCACAUCCACUGCGGCUGCGACAUCCACGGCUGCUGCCACAUCCACUGCUGCUCCCACCACAUCCACUGCGGCUGCGACGUCCACUGCUGCUCCCACCACAUCCACUGCGGCUGCAACGUCCACUGCUGCUCCCACCACAUCCACUGCGGCUGCCACAACCACCACUGCUGCCAAGACCACCAUGUCCUACGAAGACUGCCUCUUUUAUUUUCGUUUUACCCCAUGGCUUCGGGUCAUUUACUGCUAAAAGUUAUCACUGAGAUGGAAUCAGCUUCAGCCUUCUAUAUUGAUCUUACUGGAUUCGGCCAGAAUGUCCCUUGAUUUGUUUCACUGCUGCUACUUUCCAGCCCUAUCGUAUCUCUCUUAUCUCUAAUCAGUUUCUAUUCAUUCAAAUAAAAUGAUGAGUGACAUCAAAAAUAGUAGUUAUUUUUUUAGCUGUCGGCCGAGCGGUCAUCCAAUCAUUAUGUCAAGUGAUAGAUAUUUUGAAUCUUACCCAGUUCUUCCCUAUAUUACUGUAAAUAAAUGGACCCCCU
RNAcentral lists this long non-coding RNA (901 nucleotides) under Cervus hanglu yarkandensis (Yarkand deer). Its description in RNAcentral is "lncRNA (ENSCHYG00000001592.1)". Lineage: Eukaryota; Metazoa; Chordata; Mammalia; Artiodactyla; Cervidae. The record is from RNAcentral.